RNAcentral lists this transfer RNA (77 nucleotides) under Hyphomonas sp. RNAcentral's name for it is "tRNA-Arg". It matches the Rfam family "tRNA". Rfam says of the family: Transfer RNA (tRNA) molecules are approximately 80 nucleotides in length. Their secondary structure includes four short double-helical elements and three loops (D, anti-codon, and T loops). RNAcentral also lists the same sequence under 80 other names. Lineage: Bacteria; Pseudomonadati; Pseudomonadota; Alphaproteobacteria; Hyphomonadales; Hyphomonadaceae. The record is from RNAcentral.
GCACCCGUAGCUCAGCUGGAUAGAGCGUCGCCCUCCGAAGGCGAAGGCCACAGGUUCGAAUCCUGUCGGGUGCGCCA